Toxorhynchites rutilus septentrionalis is the source of this 141-nucleotide small nuclear RNA. RefSeq annotates it as U4 spliceosomal RNA. The record is from RefSeq and is a predicted model, not a curated record. NCBI's taxonomy places the organism in Eukaryota, Metazoa, Arthropoda, Insecta, Diptera, Culicidae. The transcript has a single exon.
AGCUUUGCACGGUGGUUUUGUAACCAAUCAGGUUUUACCGAGGUGCGAGUAUUGCUAGUUGAAAAAGAAAUCGUAUUCAAUAGUGUAUCAUGUUUUCUACAAGCAACUGGGAACAGUUUUUUUUGAUAAUGGUUUAUAUUA